CAAUAGCGUAUAUUAAAGUUGUUGCAGUUAAAAAGCUCGUAGUUGGAUUUCGGGGUGGCCUGCCUGGUCCACCGCAAGGUGAGUACUGGUCAGCCGCCCUUCCUCUCGAAAGCCCCGACUGCUCUUCAUUGCAGUGGUCGGGUAGUUCGGGACGUUUACUUUGAAAAAAUUAGAGUGUUCAAGGCAGGCCGUCGCCUGAAUACAUUAGCAUGGAAUAAUGGAAGAGGACCUCGGUCCUAUUUUGUUGGUUUCUAGGGCCGAAGUAAUGAUUAAGAGGGACAGUUGGGGGCAUUCGUAUUUAACUGUCAGAGGUGAAAUUCUUGGAUUUACGGAAGACGAACAACUGCGAAAGCAUUUGCCAAGGAUGUUUUCAUUGA
Molecule: ribosomal RNA, 377 nt
Filed under: uncultured eukaryote
Lineage: Eukaryota
Description: partial 18S ribosomal RNA
Rfam family: Eukaryotic small subunit ribosomal RNA
Source: RNAcentral